RNAcentral lists this ribosomal RNA (404 nucleotides) under Anaplasma phagocytophilum. Its description in RNAcentral is "bacterial SSU rRNA". It matches the Rfam family "Bacterial small subunit ribosomal RNA", at positions 71 to 506 of the family's 1533-position model. The record is from RNAcentral. Lineage: Bacteria; Pseudomonadati; Pseudomonadota; Alphaproteobacteria; Rickettsiales; Anaplasmataceae.
CUUUAUAGCCUGCUAUGAAGAAUAAUUAGUGGCAGACGGGUGAGUAAUGCAUAGGAAUCUACCUAGUAGUAUGGGAUAGCCACUAGAAAUGGUGGGUAAUACUGUAUAAUCCCUGCGGGGGAAAGAUUUAUCGCUAUUAGAUGAGCCUAUGUUAGAUUAGCUAGUUGGUAGGGUAAAGGCCUACCAAGGCGAUGAUCUAUAGCUGGUCUGAGAGGAUGAUCAGCCACACUGGAACUGAGAUACGGUCCAGACUCCUACGGGAGGCAGCAGUGGGGAAUAUUGGACAAUGGGCGCAAGCCUGAUCCAGCUAUGCCGCGUGAGUGAGGAAGGCCUUAGGGUUGUAAAACUCUUUCAGUAGGGAAGAUAAUGACGGUACCUACAGAAGAAGUCCCGGCAAACUCAAG